This 571-nucleotide ribosomal RNA is filed under the name uncultured haloarchaeon. RNAcentral describes it as "bacterial SSU rRNA". It matches the Rfam family "Archaeal small subunit ribosomal RNA", at positions 350 to 921 of the family's 1478-position model. The record is from RNAcentral. Lineage: Archaea; Methanobacteriati; Methanobacteriota; Halobacteria; Halobacteriales; Halobacteriaceae.
UUUMACUGCACGCCARUGCGAUAAGGGGAUYCCAAGUGCGUAGGCAUAKAGCCUACGCUUUUGUCCACCCUAGGGUGGUGACGAAUAARGGCUGGGCAAGACCGGUGCCMGCCGCCGCGGUAAUACCGGCAGCCCGAGKGAUGGCCGAUCUUAUUGGGCCUAAAGCGUCCGUAGCUGGCCGCACAAGCCCAUCGGGAAAUCCACCUGCUCAACAGGUGGGCGUCCGGUGGAAACUGUGUGGCUUGGGACCGGAAGGCGCGACGGGUACSUCCGGGGUAGGAGUGAAAUCCUGUAAUCCUGGACGGACCGCCGAUGGCGAAAGCACGUCGCGAAGACGGAUCCGACAGUGAGGGACGAAAGCUAGGGUCUCGAACCGGAUUAGAUACCCGGGUAGUCCUAGCCGUAAACACUGCCUGCUAGRUGUGGCACCCACUACGAGUGGGUGCUGUGCCGUAGGGAAGCCGCUAAGCAGGCCGCCUGGGAAGUACGUCCGCAAGGAUGAAACUUAAAGGAAUCGGCGGGGGAGCACUACAACCGGAGGAGCCUGCGGUUUAAUUGGAKUCAACGCCGG